This 501-nucleotide ribosomal RNA is filed under the name uncultured bacterium. Its description in RNAcentral is "partial 16S ribosomal RNA". It matches the Rfam family "Bacterial small subunit ribosomal RNA", at positions 30 to 523 of the family's 1533-position model. The record is from RNAcentral.
AUUGAACGCUGGCGGCAGGCUUAACACAUGCAAGUCGAGCGGAGAUGAGGUGCUUGCACCUUAUCUUAGCGGCGGACGGGUGAGUAAUGCUUAGGAAUCUGCCUAUUAGUGGGGGACAACAUUCCGAAAGGGAUGCUAAUACCGCAUACGUCCUACGGGAGAAAGCAGGGGAUCUUCGGACCUUGCGCUAAUAGAUGAGCCUAAGUCGGAUUAGCUAGUUGGUGGGGUAAAGGCCUACCAAGGCGACGGUCUGUAGCGGGUCUGAGAGGAUGAUCCGCCACACUGGGACUGAGACACGGCCCAGACUCCUACGGGAGGCAGCAGUGGGGAAUAUUGGACAAUGGGGGGAACCCUGAUCCAGCCAUGCCGCGUGUGUGAAGAUGGCCUUAUGGUUGUAAAGCACUUUAAGCGAGGAGGAGGCUACUGAGACUAAUACUCUUGGAUAGUGGACGUUACUCGCAGAAUAAGCACCGGCUAACUCUGUGCCAGCAGCCGCAGUAA